Molecule: ribosomal RNA, 305 nt
Filed under: uncultured bacterium
Lineage: Bacteria
Description: bacterial SSU rRNA
Rfam family: Bacterial small subunit ribosomal RNA
Source: RNAcentral
AAAUACCUACGGGACGCAGCAGUGGGGGAUAUUGCACAAUGGGGGGAACCCUGAUGCAGCGACGCCGCGUGAAGGAAGAAGUAUCUCGGUAUGUAAACUUCUAUCAGCAGGGAAGAAAAUGACGGUACCUGACUAAGAAGCCCCGGCUAACUACGUGCCAGCAGCCGCGGUAAUACGUAGGGGGCAAGCGUUAUCCGGAUUUACUGGGUGUAAAGGGAGCGUAGGCGGCAGUGCAAGUCAGAAGUGAAAGCCCGGGGCUCAACUCCGGGACUGCAUUGGGAACUACCGGGCUGGAGUGCCGGAGG